CAUAAGCGGAGGAAAAGAAACUAACAAGGAUUCCCCUAGUAACUGCGAGUGAAGCGGGAAAAGCUCAAAUUUGAAAUCUGGCGGUCCUUGGCCGUCCGAGUUGUAAUCUAGAGAAGUGUUACCCGCGCUGGACCGUGUACAAGUCUCCUGGAAUGGAGCGUCAUAGAGGGUGAGAAUCCCGUCUCUGACACGGACUCCCAGGGCUUUGUGGUAUGCUCUCAAAGAGUCGAGUUGUUUGGGAAUGCAGCUCAAAAUGGGUGGUAAAUUCCAUCUAAAGCUAAAUAUUGGCGAGAGACCGAUAGCGAACAAGUACCGUGAGGGAAAGAUGAAAAGAACUUUGGAAAGAGAGUUAAACAGUACGUGAAAUUGCUGAAAGGGAAACGCUUGAAGUCAGUCGCGUUGGCCAGGGAUCAGCCUCGCAUUUGCGUGGUGCACUUUCUGGUUGACGGGUCAGCAUCAAUUUUGGYCACUGGAAAAAGUCCUGAGGAAUGUGGCAGCUCCGGCUGUGUUAUAGCCUCUGGUCGCAUACAGUGGUUGGGAUUGAGGAACUCAGCACGCCGCAAGGCCGGGUUUCGACCACGUUCGUGCUUAGGAUGCUGGCAUAAUGGCUUUAAGCGACCCGUCUUGAAACACGGACCAAGGAGUCUAACAUGCCUGCGAGUGUUUGGGUGGAAAACCCGAGCGCGUAAUGAAAGUGAAAGUUGAGAUCCCUGUCGUGGGGAGCAUCGACGCCCGGACCAGAACUUUUGGGACGGAUCCGCGGUAGAGCAUGUAUGUUGGGACCCGAAAGAUGGUGAACUAUGCCUGAAUAGGGUGAAGCCAGAGGAAACUCUGGUGGAGGCUCGUAGCGAUUCUGACGUGCAAAUCGAUCGUCAAAUUUGGGUAUAGGGGCGAAAGACUAAUCGAACCAUCUAGUAGCUGGUUCCUGC
This 929-nucleotide ribosomal RNA is filed under the name Echinoderma asperum. RNAcentral's name for it is "partial large subunit ribosomal RNA". Lineage: Eukaryota; Fungi; Basidiomycota; Agaricomycetes; Agaricales; Agaricaceae. The record is from RNAcentral.